GACGAACGCUGGCGGCGCGCCUAACACAUGCAAGUCGAACGAGCGAGAGAGAGCUUGCUUUCUCAAGCGAGUGGCGAACGGGUGAGUAACGCGUGAGGAACCUGCCUCAAAGAGGGGGACAACAGUUGGAAACGACUGCUAAUACCGCAUAACAUUUUCGAGAGGCAUCUCUUGAAAAUCAAAGAUUUAUUGCUGAAGGAUGGGCUCAUGUCUGAUUAGCUAGUUGGUAGGGUAACGGCCUACCAAGGCGACGAUCAGUAGCCGGUCUGAGAGGAUGAACGGCCACAUUGGGACUGAGAUACGGCCCAG
This 309-nucleotide ribosomal RNA is filed under the name uncultured bacterium. Its description in RNAcentral is "bacterial SSU rRNA". It matches the Rfam family "Bacterial small subunit ribosomal RNA", at positions 28 to 334 of the family's 1533-position model. The record is from RNAcentral.